RNAcentral lists this ribosomal RNA (669 nucleotides) under Pantoea sp. Its description in RNAcentral is "bacterial SSU rRNA". It matches the Rfam family "Bacterial small subunit ribosomal RNA", at positions 828 to 1498 of the family's 1533-position model. Lineage: Bacteria; Pseudomonadati; Pseudomonadota; Gammaproteobacteria; Enterobacterales; Erwiniaceae. The record is from RNAcentral.
UCCUUGAGGAGUGGCUUCCGGAGCUAACGCGUUAAGUCGACCGCCUGGGGAGUACGGCCGCAAGGUUAAAACUCAAAUGAAUUGACGGGGGCCCGCACAAGCGGUGGAGCAUGUGGUUUAAUUCGAUGCAACGCGAAGAACCUUACCUACUCUUGACAUCCAGAGAANUUGGCAGAGAUGCUUUGGUGCCUUCGGGAACUCUGAGACAGGUGCUGCAUGGCUGUCGUCAGCUCGUGUUGUGAAAUGUUGGGUUAAGUCCCGCAACGAGCGCAACCCUUAUCCUUUGUUGCCAGCGAUUCGGUCGGGAACUCAAAGGAGACUGCCGGUGAUAAACCGGAGGAAGGUGGGGAUGACGUCAAGUCAUCAUGGCCCUUACGAGUAGGGCUACACACGUGCUACAAUGGCGCAUACAAAGAGAAGCGACCUCGCGAGAGCAAGCGGACCUCAUAAAGUGCGUCGUAGUCCGGAUCGGAGUCUGCAACUCGACUCCGUGAAGUCGGAAUCGCUAGUAAUCGUGGAUCAGAAUGCCACGGUGAAUACGUUCCCGGGCCUUGUACACACCGCCCGUCACACCAUGGGAGUGGGUUGCAAAAGAAGUAGGUAGCUUAACCUUCGGGAGGGCGCUUACCACUUUGUGAUUCAUGACNGGGGUGAAGUCGUAACAAGGUA